GACGAACGCUGACGGUGUGCUUUAGACAUGCAAGUCGAACGAGAAAGCCCUUCGGGGUGAGUACAGUGGCGAACGGGUGAGUAACACGUGGGCAAUCUGCCCCUCGCAGGGGGACAACCGGGGGAAACUCCGGCUAAUACCCCGUACGCUUGCGGAGUCGCAUGGCUCUGCAAGGAGAGGUAGCUUCGGCCAUCCGGCGAGGGAUGAGCCCGCGGUGCAUUAGCUAGUUGGUGGGGUAACGGCCCACCAAGGCGACGAUGCAUAGCUGGUCUGAGAG
Molecule: ribosomal RNA, 277 nt
Filed under: uncultured bacterium
Lineage: Bacteria
Description: partial 16S ribosomal RNA
Rfam family: Bacterial small subunit ribosomal RNA
Source: RNAcentral